Molecule: ribosomal RNA, 253 nt
Filed under: uncultured bacterium
Lineage: Bacteria
Description: partial 16S ribosomal RNA
Rfam family: Bacterial small subunit ribosomal RNA
Source: RNAcentral
UACGUAGGGUGCAGGCGUUAAUCGGAAUUACUGGGCGUAAAGGGCGCGUAGGCGGUCUGCUAAGUUGGAUGUGAAAACUCUGGGCUUAACCCAGAGCCUGCAUUCAAUACUGACAGGCUAGAGUUCUGGAGGGGAUAGCGGAAUUCCUGGUGUAGCGGUGAAAUGCGUAGAUAUCAGGAGGAACACCGGUGGCGAAGGCGGCUAUCUGGACAGAAACUGACGCUGAGGCGCGAAAGCUAGGGGAGCAAACAGG